UAAGAGGCAAAACCUGGCCUCUUCUGGGCUUCCCUGUACUGCCUCUACCAGUUAAUCUGAAGCGCCAGGGAGGGGAAGGCUCUUUCACUUUGGAGCUUUGGGAAAGCUCACAUUGUCUCCCCCAUCCCAUUUCAGCAAGAGAGGCUUCCUAGCAGAGGUGGAGGGAUUUCCAGGACUGGAACAAAGGGAGAGACCUCGACUCACAGACAAGAAGACGCUCAGAGGACAUCCUGCCUCACCCAGUCUUUUUCAAAGGAGUCCCAGCAAAGGAGAGGUGCCUGACUAGGAAAUCCUACAAACCUACCAACUUCCAAAGGACCAAAACUGUUCUGGGUGAGAGCUCCGACUGGUGCAUCAUCUUGAGACUGCCGAGUUUGCUUGUAGCUGUCAUGAGAGAGGAAAUGCCAGCAAGCCCCCUCCCCGUGCUGAGAAGUUAAUCCCCAGAGACCUUGCUGACUGACACAUGGUGGGUGCUUCAUAAUAAAUGAAAAAUAAACUUAAAUAACAUGAUAAGUACCCGUUGCAUCAGUGAGUGUUGCUGCAUUAAUAUGCCCAGGUGUCUCUUUAACAGGGCA
Molecule: long non-coding RNA, 575 nt
Organism: Physeter macrocephalus (sperm whale)
Lineage: Eukaryota; Metazoa; Chordata; Mammalia; Artiodactyla; Physeteridae
Exons: 3
Source: RefSeq, a predicted model, not a curated record